Molecule: long non-coding RNA, 382 nt
Organism: Oncorhynchus keta (chum salmon)
Lineage: Eukaryota; Metazoa; Chordata; Actinopteri; Salmoniformes; Salmonidae
Exons: 3
Source: RefSeq, a predicted model, not a curated record
CGCGGCUGUGUUGCGGUCUUCGAGUAAGAAGCGGAGCCGAGUCUCGCUUUGCAAGACCUCGAGUGUGCAAUUGAUUUUCCGCAACGGGCCACCAAUUUAAUAAAUAUUUGACGUUUGUACUCCUGUCAUUGUUCAGAGGAGCGAGUCAACUACACAGCUAGCUGACACAAUCCCUUCAAACGGAAGCCCGAAAGACAGCAAGGAACUGAACCCUAGGACCAUGCCUCAGGACUACCUGGCAUGAUGACUCCUUGCUGUCCCCAGUCCACCUGGCCGUGCUGCUGCUCCAGUUUCAACUGUUCUGCCUGUGAUUAUUAUUAUUUGACCAUGCUGGUCAUUUAUGAACAUUUGAACAUCUUGGCCAUGUUCUGUUAUAAUCUCC